This is a non-coding RNA of Ictidomys tridecemlineatus (thirteen-lined ground squirrel), 1294 nucleotides long. Lineage: Eukaryota; Metazoa; Chordata; Mammalia; Rodentia; Sciuridae. The record is from RefSeq and is a predicted model, not a curated record.
CACGGAGACAGUGACUUUACGUGAGCCAUCGCUACACAGUUACUUAGUACAUAGAGACUUCUCUCCAGCUUUACCAAUCCGACUCUCGUAAAUUCUCUCAGAAGCGGAAGGUGGCCCACUACAUAACACGUGGGGUUUCUUCAACCAAAGUCAAGAGGACCAGUUAAAUAAGAAAUUACUUUUGCUGGAGUAUCUUAUUUAUUUCUUACAGCUCACCUGCCAGGAGAUGUGGAAGAACAUUUGUCCUGUAAAGUUGAAGGAAGAAAAAAGGGACAUCUUUGCUUUCAGAGAAAUGAAGACUGCAGUUGGGAACUGGUAACUAAUAUCAUUAAACAACCUUGGGAAAAAGCAUUGAAGAGAAAUAAGAUGGUAUCAUGCACCAACAUCCACACCCUUUAGGAGAGUUUCUGGUGGAAUGAUCCACGGUCUCGUUGCAGAGAUGGGAGGAGGACCAUGCAGAGGAAAACAACUCACCAUACUAGAAAAAGAAAAAGAAAAUGCCUGAGGGUCAGCAGAUGUUGAAGGAGGAAUAAUCAAGAUCUUUCAGCCAAAUUGCUUAAGAACAACAGAUGACUGGAACUGCACGUCUUUCUUCAAACACUGUCUACUGCAGAAUGGAAACAGGAACCUCUGGGAAUAUCUGUGAGUCAUAAAAUGUUGUAGAAAAUGUUCCAAAGCCAUUUUCUUGCUAGGAUGGAGAGUUCUAAUCUCUUACUGGCAGGCUCUGUUGGCUACAAGGUACAUUGUUUACUUUGAUUCUUUCUCAGCUGUUCUUCAUGAUCUUGGAUCAUCAUGUUUUUGAUAUAUUGGAGCAGGAGAGUUGCAUAAUACAAUUGUAACCUCUUCUGCUCUUGUAUUCUCUUAAAAUAGACAAAAAUCUUGAUUCUAACCUAUGCUUCUUUCAUGGGCAUAUUAAUUUAGUUGUCUUUAAAGGGAAUAUAGUACCAGUAAUUGAAGACAUAUGUUUUCAUUCAAUUAAAAAAAAGAUGUCAAAAAACAUUUCAAAAAGCUAUCAGAGAUAUUUCUGAAUGUGUUGCUCAUUUAAUCUGGUUUAAAUAUUAGUGCUUGAAUUAUGCAAAGUCCACACACAAAGACAUAUUUUACAAACAUUGUAUUAAUAUUAAGAAUGGAUUUAAAAACAGGCCUUUGGUCUCACAAGGGUAGAAACAUCUCUAAGGCUCUCCAUUUUCCAAGAAAAAUAUGAUGAGUAAAAAAUUGUGAGUUGGUAAAUUGGUAGUAAAUUCAUGUACAUAUACAUGAAAUGUAAAUAAAGUUAAAAAGCUAGUAUCAAGGU